RNAcentral lists this ribosomal RNA (150 nucleotides) under uncultured bacterium. RNAcentral's name for it is "partial 16S ribosomal RNA". It matches the Rfam family "Bacterial small subunit ribosomal RNA", at positions 686 to 835 of the family's 1533-position model. The record is from RNAcentral.
AUUCGUAGAGAUCGGGAGGAAUACCAGUGGCGUAGGCGCCCUUCUGGACGGUAACUGACGCUGAGACGCGAAAGCGUGGGGAGCAAACAGGAUUAGAUACCCUGGUAGUCCACGCUGUAAACGAUGAGCACUAGGUGUAGCGGGUACCCA